RNAcentral lists this long non-coding RNA (540 nucleotides) under Olea europaea subsp. europaea. Lineage: Eukaryota; Viridiplantae; Streptophyta; Magnoliopsida; Lamiales; Oleaceae. The record is from RNAcentral.
CGCCAAAUCCAUCCCCCACCAAUUCUAGAUCCACCAUCAACAGCGCCCGAUCCACCACCGUUGUCGCCAAUAAAACCACCCCAACAUCACCAUGGAAGCCAACAACAAAAACCACCACCAACAACAAAAACCACCUCAAAAACUCCAUUCAUGUUGUACACCGGAUUGCAAAUUUCCCCAGAUUUGACACUAGAUCGCUACCUAAAACUCUAACCCAAUCUUCCUCAGAUUCGGCACCAGAUCGUGAUCCAAAACAUUGCUCAUGCUGGGCAGGGGCGUGGCAACCAUGGAUGCACUUGUGACCAUGGCUAUGGGCUCAGAUUUGAUGGUGAGGGAAGAAGAUAAAGAGAUGGUAAGAGAAGAGAGAAGAAAAAGGCACGAGGUUUUAGAGAGAUGAAUAAUGGAGAAAUAUAGCCCUUAUUUGAGUCUCAUUCUUUUGAUAAGAAUGAAUUUUUGAUUAGUGCAUUAACGAAAAAUGGGUGGUUAAAAAAUAAGAUUUUUUUUUGAAUUUGUGUGUAAUAUUAUUUUAUUGAAUAAUGG